This 3053-nucleotide long non-coding RNA is filed under the name Homo sapiens (human). Its description in RNAcentral is "non-protein coding lnc-SOX9-4:2". Lineage: Eukaryota; Metazoa; Chordata; Mammalia; Primates; Hominidae. The record is from RNAcentral.
GAAGUAUGUGAAAUCCACACAAGGCAGUAACAUUGUAAUAUCACUGUUUAAAACUUUGGCUCCAGGGACCUGGCCAUGAGGCUACCAUCUUGCUCCAUCUCCCUGGGCCAUUGGUCUGGGAGCGGAAGAAUGCAAGGCAUUGGGGAGGAAAGUGUCCAUGUUGCCCAGGAGCCUGGCGGGAUCACUCAGAAACACACUCAACCUUGGGAGAAACACACAGGUUCUGUUUUCAGGUUACGUGCAAUCACGGGACAGCUGCUAAUCACCACCAAGACGGGGCCGUCCCAGAAGCAUUCUUAGAAAGACACGCUGGUUCUGCGAGCUCUGAAGCACCCUUAGCCUGUCCUGCCUGGAGGAUCAUUGUGGCUGCAGGACGAGAAAGACAAGAGGAAAGACGGCCGACCCAUUCAUUCCUGCCGUUGUCAAGUUGUCCUUUCUUGGAGGGAGGAGGAAGACGGGAGGGUGCUAAGAGGCUGCGAGACAACAAGGGGACCCCUCAAAGAGCAUCAGGGAGACCACGAAGAAUGAUCUCAAGCAGUAUUAGCUGCUCCAUGGCAUGAUAAUGUCCCUGUUGGGUGUUCCCUGCACUCUGUACCCCUCAUACCCUAACUUCAUCAGAACAGGAGGAAGGGGGCAUUUGCUGUCUCUCUCUUCCUUUUUUUUUUUACUGCUGGGGCUGCAAUCUGCCAGUGUGAACCCUGGUGGCUCUGCAGGCAGCAGGGUGAGGAGAGUGACCCUCAUAUGAAGCCACGACCCCAAUGCAAGAGGCUAUCCUGAAUCUGGGAGUCACGGUUGUUCAGAAUCAGUCCCUGAGAUGUGGCACCGUGGCGUUUGACAUUAUCACCACCAUCGAUGUCAUUCUAUGGUAACGUAUGUGUGCCAUUGUGUGCCUGGGACACAAACAGGCACUUUCGAUACCCCUCCUGCUUGGACCCUUCCCCUGCCAUCCCCUCCUCCCACUGGCCGCCCUGUUGCUCUCAGCUUCCCUGUAAAGAGGCCUUUUUCACAAUGAGUCGGAUCACAGCAUGCUUUGCUCAAAACCCUGCCUGGCUCCCAGGUCCCUCAGAGGGAAGGCCCAAGGCCUCUGGGCCUGACCUGGUCUGACGGUCACCGCCCCUCUCGGCGCUCAGCACUUACUGAGCUUGAUUCUCAAGCACACCAUAUACUCCUGCCUGCUUUGGGCCCCAAUGUACCUGCUCCCUCUGUCCCAAAGGCUCUUCCCCAAAACAUCCUCCUACAAGUCUGUGCUCAAAUGUCACCUUCUCCAUUCAGCCCUACAACCUGCCCUCCACCUCUCUCCCUGCACUGCACACUGGAGCUGCCUUUCCUGCCUCUGUGUUUUUUUUUUCGAUAACACUAUCACCUCCUUACAUACUAGAUAAUUUACAUACUAACUAUUUUUUACUGUUUAGCCUGCCCCACCUUGACAGCCAGUGUGGAUGCAGGACAGGAAAGACAAAAGAGGAAUGAUGGCUGACCCAAUGCUUCUCAUCUUUCCUGGCCCCAUGAUGUGGUUUGGCUCUGUCCCUACCCAAAUCUCAUCUUGAAUUGUAGCUCCUAUAAUUCCCAGUGUUGUGGGAGAGACCUGGUGGGAGUUAAUUGAAUCAUGGGGACAGUUUCCCCCAUCCUGUUCUCAUGGUAGUGAAUAAGCCUCACGAGAUCUGAAGGUUUUAUAAGGGGAAAUCCCUUUUGCUUGGUUCUCAUUCUCUAUUGCCUGCCCCCACAUAAGACAUGCCUUUCACCUUCCGCCAUGAUUGUGAGGCCUCCCCAGCCACGCGGAGGAGGUAUGUCUGUAUCAGCAGACAUAUGUCUCAGGUAUGUCUGUAUCAGCAGCAUGAAAAUGGACUAAUAUACCCCAUUAGAAGCCAAGCUCCAUGCCAGCAGGACAGAGCCUGUUUUGUUCAGUGUCUGUUCUCUGCCUAGAGCAGUGCCAGCAGUCCCGUAAAUAUCUAUUAGAUGAGUGAAUGAAUGAAUGAACCGAUCGAUGAACAAGUGAAGGGUGGAAUUACUGCCACUCAUGGGGAGGGGGCUAUGCAUCUCAUGGAAUGAGCUGGUCUUCAGGGUGGGGUUCCCUGGGGAGUGGGGGAGAGGGCUGGCAAAGGCAGAAGGUGCUGCUUCCAGAAAGGCAGUGCCCGAAGUUUGCCUGGAAAUCCCCUUGGCAUCACUCAUUAACUAACCCCCACCCCAAUACACAUCCAAACCCAAACAGUAGCUGAAGAGUAACUUCAACCAUAGACUCUCUUUCCAGGCCCACGCUCCCACCGGUGAGUGCAUGUAGUCAUCUGGGCACCUACCGUGUGCUCCUUGGAUCCCAGGAUGAGCAGUGAAGAAAGGAUGGCGGGGGAUGAAAGAGAUCCCCUCCCACCCUCAUCCCACUCUCAAGGCUCUAGCUGGAAGGCAGAGGCAACACUGCAGAUGAAGUUCUGAAAGUGAGAUGGUGGGCAGGUAAAGGAGCUGCCAGCCCCAUGGUGCCAUGGCUGUGGGGUUUUAAGCAGCACCCACCGAGUCAGCCAGAAACCUCUGAUUCCACCUAGAAAAAUAAGGGAAGAGUUACACCAGGAAGCAAGAUAAUGAAACUCAUCUUGAAGCUUAAACGUGGACGGAGUGGUUCCUCAGUGCCAGACAGCUCCCCGCAAGCACAUAGGAGUUUAAUAGCUGUUUAUUCUUCCAUAUAGACUAAAACUACAUUCAUCAGAAAAAGGGGAGUAAUUCAUUUCCUAUCCCAAUUAUGGAUAUAGCAGACUGAAGAAUAUUUUCAAAGAAAUACAGUUUAUUAUGAUCACAAACUUGACCUAGAGUAAACUAAGAUGUAAAUGGAUAUUUACACUGGAUAGUAAUUGUUUUCAAGUUAUAAAAAUACUUAAGUUUACAAUGGACAUUUACUACAAAACAACCUAAUGCCACAGUGCCAAGUUGUUCUGUUUUUAUUGGGUCUUUUACUCCUAUGAUCCUAUUUCUAAAUGUUUAUAUGUUCUAAUUUGUGAUAUGUCUGAAUUCACUGAAUGGGAUGACAUAUGAGGAACAUCUAGUGCCAUGUCUGGUCCCUAUUAAGC